CAGCAGCCGCGGGAAUACGUAGGGUGCGAGCGUUAAUCGGAAUUACUGGGCGUAAAGCGUGCGCAGGCGGUUUGUUAAGACAGAUGUGAAAUCCCCGGGCUCAACCUGGGAACUGCAUUUGUGACUGGCAGGCUAGAGUAUGGCAGAGGGGGGUGGAAUUCCGCGUGUAGCAGUGAAAUGCGUAGAUAUGCGGAGGAACACCGAUGGCGAAGGCAGCCCCCUGGGCCAAUACUGACGCUCUUGCACGAAAGCGUGGGGAGCAAACAGGAUUAGAAUCCCCGUAGUCCCUGUCUCUUAUACA
RNAcentral lists this ribosomal RNA (301 nucleotides) under uncultured bacterium. RNAcentral's name for it is "partial 16S ribosomal RNA". It matches the Rfam family "Bacterial small subunit ribosomal RNA", at positions 509 to 808 of the family's 1533-position model. The record is from RNAcentral.